CUUUAAACAUUUCAUCACUUUGUAAUGUUAAAAACUAGUGUGACUAACAAAAUAACCAAACAGUGAUGUGUACCACAUGCUGGUGUUCAAGGACCCAUUGUUAACAAUAAAAAUGGAUGAAAUUUUUAAUA
Molecule: non-coding RNA, 131 nt
Organism: Gossypium raimondii (Peruvian cotton)
Lineage: Eukaryota; Viridiplantae; Streptophyta; Magnoliopsida; Malvales; Malvaceae
Source: Rfam